Molecule: ribosomal RNA, 200 nt
Filed under: uncultured bacterium
Lineage: Bacteria
Description: partial 16S ribosomal RNA
Rfam family: Bacterial small subunit ribosomal RNA
Source: RNAcentral
AGAGUUUGAUCAUGGCUCAGAAUGAACGUUGGCGGCGUGGAUUAGGCAUGCAAGUCGAACGCUCCGCAAGGGGCGUGGCGCAAGGGUGAGUAAGGUGACGGCAACCAACCCCACGGCCGGGCAUAGCCCAGGGAAACCUGGGGUAAUUCCCGGCGCCGCACGCGGGAGGCAUCUUCCGGGUGCGAAAGGUGAGACUCCGC